AUACGUAGGGGGCGAGCGUUGUCCGGAAUGAUUGGGCGUAAAGGGCGCGUAGGCGGCUUUGCAAGUCAGUAGUGGAAGUCCAUUUUUCAAGGAUGGAAGUGCUACAGAAACUGCGGAGCUUGAGUGCAGGAGAGGUUAUCGGAAUUCCCGGUGUAGCGGUGAAAUGCGUAGAGAUCGGGGGGAACACCAGUGGCGAAGGCGGGUAACUGGACUGCAACUGACGCUGAGGCGCGAAAGUGUGGGGAGCAAACAGGAUUAGAUACCCUGGUAGUCCACACUGUAAACGAUGAAUGCUAGGUGUAGGAGGUAUCGACCCCUUCUGUGCCGCAGUAAACACAGUAAGCAUUCCGCCUGGGGAGUACGGUCGCAAGAUUAAAACUCAAAGGAAUUGACGGGG
RNAcentral lists this ribosomal RNA (397 nucleotides) under uncultured bacterium. RNAcentral's name for it is "partial 16S ribosomal RNA". It matches the Rfam family "Bacterial small subunit ribosomal RNA", at positions 523 to 918 of the family's 1533-position model. The record is from RNAcentral.